This 95-nucleotide ribosomal RNA is filed under the name Acinetobacter baumannii. RNAcentral also lists the same sequence under 52 other names. The record is from RNAcentral. Lineage: Bacteria; Pseudomonadati; Pseudomonadota; Gammaproteobacteria; Moraxellales; Moraxellaceae.
GUCCCACCUGACCCCAUGCCGAACUCAGAAGUGAAACGCCGUAGCGCCGAUGGUAGUGUGGGGUCUCCCCAUGUGAGAGUAGGGAACUGCCAGGC